Molecule: unclassified non-coding RNA, 520 nt
Filed under: uncultured Glomus
Lineage: Eukaryota; Fungi; Glomeromycota; Glomeromycetes; Glomerales; Glomeraceae
Description: SSU rRNA
Rfam family: Eukaryotic small subunit ribosomal RNA
Source: RNAcentral
AGCAGCCGCGGUAAUUCCAGCUCCAAUAGCGUAUAUUAAAGUUGUUGCAGUUAAAAAGCUCGUAGUUGAAUUUCGGGAUUGGCGCAUCGGUCGUGCCUCACGGGGUAUGAACUGGUGCAGUCAAUUUCUCACCUUCUGGAGAACCGCGAUGUCCUUAAUUGGAUGCCGCGGGGAACCAGGACCUUUACUUUGAAAAAAUUAGAGUGUUUAAAGCAGGCAUUUUUGCUUGAAUACAUUAGCAUGGAAUAAUAAAAUAGGACGGCAUGGUUCUAUUUUGUUGGUUUCUAGGACCACCGUAAUGAUUAAUAGGGAUAGUUGGGGGCAUUAGUAUUCAAUUGUCAGAGGUGAAAUUCUUGGAUUUAUUGAAGACUAACUACUGCGAAAGCAUUUGCCAAGGAUGUUUUCAUUAAUCAAGAACGAAAGUUAGGGGAUCGAAGACGAUCAGAUACCGUCCUAGUCUCAACCAUAAACGAUGCCGACCAGGGAUCGGCGGAUGUUGCUUAUAGGACUCCGCCGGCAC